This 680-nucleotide long non-coding RNA is filed under the name Gossypium barbadense (sea-island cotton). RNAcentral's name for it is "long non-coding RNA (GBAR_LNC016061)". Lineage: Eukaryota; Viridiplantae; Streptophyta; Magnoliopsida; Malvales; Malvaceae. The record is from RNAcentral.
CAGGAAAUGAGAGUAUAUAAGAUGAGAAUUUGAGUGAAAUUCUGCAAAAAAAAAAAAAACUGGUUUUUCUGCUUCUACUAAGCAAACGAAUAAGAUCCAACUAUAAAAGAAACAGUAAAGAAUUGAAGAAUCGAAGUGAGAUUUUUGUUUCCUGGGGAAAAUGAGAGAUACCCAAACGAGAGUUUUAAGUAAAAUUUUGCCUAAAAAAGAAAGAUGAGAGUCCAAAACUGCAGAACUCAACUGAGAUUUUGUUUUCUGAGCAAAGGAAAGGAAACCCAGAUGGGAAAAGGUAUAAACUUUCUUAAUCAAACUGGGAUUAAACAAGUAAACAAAGUAAUCAAAUAUAUAAUAGAGAAAUGAAAGAAAGAUGAGGGAAACUACAAAUCAGAAAAAAAAAAUGGGCUCAAAUUCUGAAGCCAAUAGAGGCAAUGGAGAGCAACUUGGAGAAGUGGGGUUUUAAAAGAGGGUUAAGGAAAAUGUAGAUACAAGUUUGAAGAGAAUUCAAAGAAGGGAUCCCCAAAAGAAAACGUCCACUUUGGGGACUAGUUGAUGCUGAAAGAAUCAAAGAAGAAGAGGAAAAAAAAAAGUUUGCCUUCUAAAGAGAAGUUGGGCAGAGGGCGUUGAGCUGCAACAAGUGAAGAAGAUGACGCUUCUUCGGUCCAACUUUAUGACUCUUGUUA